GCCAGGCUCUGUGGCACAUGCCUGUAGUCCCAGCUACUUGGAGGCUGAGGCAGGAGGAUGGUUUGAGCCCAGGAAGUUCUGGGCUGUAGUGUGUUAUGCUGAUUAGGUGUCCAUGCUAAGUUUGGCUUCAAUAUGGUAACCUCCCAUGCGUGGGAGACUACCAGGUUGCCUAGCAGGGGGUGAACUGACCUAAGCUGAAAAUGGAGCACGUCAAAACUCCCGUGUUGAUCAGGAGUGGGAUCAUGCCUAUGAAUAGCCACUGCACACGAGCCUGAGUGACACAGUGAGACCCUGUCUCUG
Molecule: non-coding RNA, 300 nt
Organism: Gorilla gorilla gorilla (western lowland gorilla)
Lineage: Eukaryota; Metazoa; Chordata; Mammalia; Primates; Hominidae
Rfam family: Metazoan signal recognition particle RNA
About the family: The signal recognition particle (SRP) is a universally conserved ribonucleoprotein. It is involved in the co-translational targeting of proteins to membranes.
Source: Rfam